GGGUGUGAGGGAGAUCUGGGUACAAUAUCUCCCACCCCACUGAUUACCCAGGUUGAGUCUGCUGACCUGGCUGGUUAGGUGCUGUCUUCUUCAAAGCUCCAUGGGCAUUCCUUCUAAAACUGCUCACUUGGUCCAAGCAGACAACCCUUCCCAAUGCAGUGGUAUAGCUAGGGUGGUGGGUCUUCCAUGGGCAGCACAUUUUUUGAACAUCGUUACUGGUCAAAAGGAAACUUAUAUUGACAUAAUUUAUUCCAUUUUAACAAGGCAUACAUCAAAAUAUAAAUGUUUUUUCUCU
Molecule: unclassified non-coding RNA, 295 nt
Organism: Cavia porcellus (domestic guinea pig)
Lineage: Eukaryota; Metazoa; Chordata; Mammalia; Rodentia; Caviidae
Gene: 7SK
Rfam family: 7SK RNA
About the family: 7SK was discovered as an abundant small nuclear RNA in the mid-70s but a possible function has only recently been suggested.
Source: Ensembl